UCAAGCUACAAAGGGCGCAUGGUGAAUGCCUUGGCAUCAGGAGCCGAUGAAGGACGUGAUAAGCUGCGAUAAGCUUCGGGUAGGCGCACAUAGCCUGAGAUCCGAAGAUCUCCGAAUGAGGAAACUCACAUGGGAAACCCCAUGUAUCAUUAAGUGAAUACAUAGCUUAAUGAAGGUAACCCAGGGAACUGAAACAUCUAAGUACCUGGAGGAAGAGAAAGAAAAAUCGAUUUUCUUAGUAGCGGCGAGCGAAAGGGAAAGAGCCCAAACCGGAAACUUGUUUCCGGGGUUGUGGACAUAACAUAAAAGUGGAGGCUAUUGUAACUGAAGAGAACUGGAAAGUUCCACCGUAGAAGGUAAUAGUCCUGUAAGUGAAACGAGAAGACCACGAGUUAUGAUCCAGAGUACCACGAGACACGUGAAACCUUGUGGGAAGCAGGGAGGACCACCUCCCAAGGCUAAAUACUACCUGAUGACCGAUAGUGAAGCAGUACCGUGAGGGAAAGGUGAAAAGAACCCCGGGAGGGGAGUGAAAUAGAACCUGAAACCGUGUGCCUACAACCGCUCAGAGCCCCUUAUGAGGGUGAUGAGGUGCUUUUUGUAGAACGAGCCAACGAGUUACGGUAUGUAGCAAGGUUAAGUACUUAAGGUACGGAGCCGAAGGGAAACCGAGUCUGAAUAGGGCGACUAGUUGCAUGCCGUAGACCCGAAACCGGGUGACCUAUCCAUGGCCAGGUUGAAGCGAGGGUAAAACCUCGUGGAGGACCGAACCACGUUGCUGUUGAAAAAGCAUGGGAUGAGCUGUGGAUAGCGGAGAAAUUCCAAUCGAACCCGGAGAUAGCUGGUUCUCUCCGAAAUAGCUUUAGGGCUAGCGUCGAGUAUGAGUAGUGGAGGUAGAGCACUGAAUGGGCUAGGGGGCAUAGCGCUUACCGAACCUUAUCAAACUCCGAAUGCCACAUACUUUGAGCUCGGCAGUCAGACUACGAAUGAUAAGAUCCGUGGUCAAAAGGGAAACAGCCCAGAUCGUCAGCUAAGGUCCCAAAGUGUAAGUUAAGUGGGAAAGGAUGUGAGAUUUCUAAGACAACUAGGAUGUUGGCUUAGAAGCAGCCAUUCAUUAAAAGAGUGCGUAAUAGCUCACUAGUCGAGAGAUCUUGCGCCGAAAAUGUAACGGGGCUAAACUUACCACCGAAGCUACGGGCUUGAACUUAGUUCAAGCGGUAGGAGAGCGUCGUAACCGGGCUGAAGUCGUACCGUAAGGAGCGGUGGACUGGUUACGAGUGAGAAUGUUGGCAUCAGUAGCGAGAUGUGGGUGAGAAUCCCACAGGCCGAAAACCUAAGGUUUCCUCAGGAAGGUUCGUCCGCUGAGGGUUAGUCGGGACCUAAGCCGAGGCCGAAAGGCGUAGGUGAUGGACAACUGGUUGAUAUUCCAGUACCACUACCAUCGUUAUUAUCGAUGGCGUGACGCAGGAGGAUAGUGUGUGCUAGCUAUUGGAUGCUAGUCUAAGCGUUUAGGCAGUGAGAGUAGGCAAAUCCGCUCUCAUAAUGCUGAGGCGUGAUGGGGAAGGUUCUACGGAACCGAAGUACAUGAUUCCACGCUGCCAAGAAAAGCGUCUAGAGAGAGAAGUAGUGCCCGUACCGCAAACCGACACAGGUAGGUGAGGAGAGAAUCCUAAGGCCGGCGGAAGAAUUACAGUUAAGGAACUCGGCAAAUUGACCCCGUAAGUUCGCGAGAAGGGGUGCCUACGAGAGUAGGCCGCAGAGAAUAGGCCCAAGCAACUGUUUAGCAAAAACACAGGUCUCUGCUAAAGCGUAAGCUGAUGUAUAGGGGCUGACGCCUGCCCGGUGCUGGAAGGUUAAGGGGAACACUUAGCGCAAGCGAAGGUGUGAACUUAAGCCCCAGUAAACGGCGGCCGUAACUAUAACGGUCCUAAGGUAGCGAAAUUCCUUGUCAGGUAAGUUCUGACCCGCACGAAUGGCGUAAUGACUUGGGCACUGUCUCAACUGUAAAUCCGGCGAAGUUGUAGUGCGAGUGAAGAUGCUCGCUACCCGCGAUUGGACGGAAAGACCCCGUAGAGCUUUACUGUAGCUUAGCAUUGAGUUUUGGUAUUGUCUGUACAGGAUAGGUGGGAGACUAGGAAACCAGGGCGUCAGCCUUGGUGGAGUCAACCUUGGGAUACCACCCUGACAGUACUGAAAUUCUAACUGGCGGCCAUGAAUCUGGUCACAGGACAUUGUUAGGUGGGCAGUUUGACUGGGGCGGUCGCCUCCUAAAAAGUAACGGAGGCGCCCAAAGGUUCCCUCAGAACGGUCGGAAAUCGUUCGAAGAGUGCAAAGGCAGAAGGGAGCCUGACUGCGACACCCACAAGUGGAGCAGGGACGAAAGUCGGGCUUAGUGAUCCGGUGGUACCUCGUGGGAGGGCCAUCGCUCAACGGAUAAAAGCUACCUCGGGGAUAACAGGCUGAUCUCCCCCAAGAGUCCACAUCGACGGGGAGGUUUGGCACCUCGAUGUCGGCUCGUCGCAUCCUGGGGCUGAAGUAGGUCCCAAGGGUUGGGCUGUUCGCCCAUUAAAGCGGCACGCGAGCUGGGUUCAGAACGUCGUGAGACAGUUCGGUCCCUAUCCGUCGCGGGCGUAGGAAAUUUGAGAGGAGCUGUCCUUAGUACGAGAGGACCGGGAUGGACUGACCUCUGGUGUACCAGUUGUUCCGCCAGGAGCACAGCUGGGUAGCUAAGUCGGGAAUGGAUAAACGCUGAAAGCAUCUAAGCGUGAAGCCAACCUCAAGAUGAGAUUUCCCAUAGCGUAAGCUAGUAAGAUCCCUUGAAGAACACAAGGUUGAUAGGUCGGGGGUGUAAGCAUGGUAACAUGUUCAGCUGACCGAUACUAAUAGAUCGAGGGCUUGACCAA
RNAcentral lists this ribosomal RNA (2903 nucleotides) under Clostridium perfringens. Its description in RNAcentral is "bacterial LSU rRNA". It matches the Rfam family "Bacterial large subunit ribosomal RNA". The record is from RNAcentral. Lineage: Bacteria; Bacillati; Bacillota; Clostridia; Eubacteriales; Clostridiaceae. RNAcentral also lists the same sequence under 2 other names.